GCCUUGGUGGUGGAAUGGUAGACACGAGGGACUUAAAAUCCCUUGGACCGCAAGGUCUGUACGGGUUCGAGUCCCGUCCGAGGCA
This 85-nucleotide transfer RNA is filed under the name Bacteroidota bacterium. RNAcentral describes it as "tRNA-Leu". It matches the Rfam family "tRNA". From Rfam's summary of the family: Transfer RNA (tRNA) molecules are approximately 80 nucleotides in length. Their secondary structure includes four short double-helical elements and three loops (D, anti-codon, and T loops). Further hydrogen bonds mediate the characteristic L-shaped molecular structure. tRNAs have two regions of fundamental functional importance: the anti-codon, which is responsible for specific mRNA codon recognition, and the 3' end, to which the tRNAs corresponding amino acid is attached (by aminoacyl-tRNA synthetases). tRNAs cope with the degeneracy of the genetic code in two manners: having more than one tRNA (with a specific anti-codon) for a particular amino acid; and 'wobble' base-pairing, i.e. permitting non-standard base-pairing at the 3rd anti-codon position. The record is from RNAcentral. Lineage: Bacteria; Pseudomonadati; Bacteroidota.